GCCGGAGUAGCUCAGGGGUAGAGCAACGCAUUCGUAAUGCGUGGGUCGUCGGUUCAAAUCCGACCUUCGGCUCCA
This 75-nucleotide transfer RNA is filed under the name Akkermansiaceae bacterium. Its description in RNAcentral is "tRNA-Thr". It matches the Rfam family "tRNA". Rfam says of the family: Transfer RNA (tRNA) molecules are approximately 80 nucleotides in length. Their secondary structure includes four short double-helical elements and three loops (D, anti-codon, and T loops). Lineage: Bacteria; Pseudomonadati; Verrucomicrobiota; Verrucomicrobiia; Verrucomicrobiales; Akkermansiaceae. The record is from RNAcentral.